UUGCUUGGUGGUGGUGAUUUGAUUGGUGGUGUUUGUGAAUGAAAUUUUUAAGGUGAAGAGAGAGAAAAGUAAAAGUGAAAGUGAUAGAGAGAAAAUUGAAGAGUUAUUUAAGAAAGGGUUACUUAAGGGAGUUCAUAUAAAAAUACGGGCGUUACCCGGUAAAUACCGGACGCGGUUUAGUACCCCCCAAUCUGUUUAGAGUUCUUCCCUUAAUGAAUUUGAUCCUAACUGAUCGGGUCAUUGAUAGAGAAAGAGAUGCUCGAUCGUCCUUAGAGAAGCUUGACAAUGGCGAGCGACGCGGACGCUGAUGAUGAUGAAACUCCUCUGUUGAUUUCGCCGCAAUUUCUCAUUGCUCCAAUGGCCACGAUCGACAAUUUUAAGUUGGUCCUUUACUCCUUUUGAACUAUUUCAAAUCCGUAUCAAUAGAUUGAAGUCAAUUAGAUCCAAUUUCAAGAUUAAUCAUAAAUGAGAAGAUCAAGUACUAUGCUUCCAAAAAAAAAAAAAAGAAGAUCAAGUACUGUAUAUUGUAGAUAUGAUUCAUUGCGGGACAACAACACAACUUUGAAAUGAUAAGAGAUUCUUGUAGUUUUUUUUUUUUAAAUCUUGUUAUUCCUUUUUCAUUUACAUUUAAGUUGUAUAAAAAAUUUAUUAAUUUAAUAGAAGUUUUGAUAACCUUUUGUAUUUCCA
Molecule: long non-coding RNA, 687 nt
Organism: Chenopodium quinoa (quinoa)
Lineage: Eukaryota; Viridiplantae; Streptophyta; Magnoliopsida; Caryophyllales; Amaranthaceae
Exons: 2
Source: RefSeq, a predicted model, not a curated record